CCCUUAGAUGUUCUGGGCCACACGCGCGCUACACUGAUGCAUUCAACGAGCCUAUCCUUGACCGACAGGUCCGGGUAAUCUUUGAAUCUGCAUCGUGACGGGGAUAGAUUAUUGCAAUUAUUAAUCUUCAACGAGGAAUGCCUAGUAGGCGCAAGUCAUCAGCUUGCGUCGAUUACGUCCCUGCCCUUUGUACACACCGCCCGUCGCUCCUACCGAUUGGGUGUGCUGGUGAAAUGUUCGGAUCGGCCGUUUGUCGCGGUUUCCGCGUCAUGUGGCUGAGAAGUUCAUUAAACCCUCCCACCGAGAGGAAGGAGAAGUCGUAACA
This 325-nucleotide ribosomal RNA is filed under the name uncultured eukaryote. RNAcentral's name for it is "partial 18S ribosomal RNA". It matches the Rfam family "Eukaryotic small subunit ribosomal RNA", at positions 1470 to 1796 of the family's 1831-position model. The record is from RNAcentral.